RNAcentral lists this long non-coding RNA (293 nucleotides) under Polistes fuscatus (common paper wasp). RNAcentral describes it as "uncharacterized LOC122514499". Lineage: Eukaryota; Metazoa; Arthropoda; Insecta; Hymenoptera; Vespidae. The record is from RNAcentral.
UUCUAUAUGCCGCGAAAACCGGAGACAUUCUUUGCGAAUUGUACGAACCUUCGACGAGUAAAAAAUUUCGUGACGAAAUUCUAAAUUUUCUAUUUCAACUCGUCAAUAAUCGUUUGACUUUUACCGCUUGCCGAUUUUACAAUUUGGAUCAUACAUUUGUAUAUAGUGCGAUCGGUUCAAUUGCAACAUAUCUCAUUAUUCUCAUUCAAGUUGGUGAUAAACCUAAAAUUAGUAUCGAAAAUACAAACAGUAAUUCAACGUUGUGACGUUUUAAAAUGAAAAAAUACAAUGAC